GAUGAAGAACGCAGCGAAAUGCGAUAAGUAAUGUGAAUUGCAGAAUUCAGUGAAUCAUCGAAUCUUUGAACGCACAUUGCGCCCGCCAGUAUUCUGGCGGGCAUGCCUGUUCGAGCGUCAUUGCUGCCCUCAAGCACGGCUUGUGUGUUGGGCCCCGUCCUCCGAUCCCGGGGGACGGGCCCGAAAGGCAGCGGCGGCACCGCGUCCGGUCCUCGAGCGUAUGGGGCUUUGUCACCCGCUCUGUAGGCCCGGCCGGCGCUUGCCGAUCAACCCAAAUUUUUUAUCCAGGUUGACCUCGGAUCAGGUAGGGAUACCCGCUGAACUUAAGCAUAUCAAUAAGCGGAGGA
Molecule: unclassified non-coding RNA, 347 nt
Filed under: soil metagenome
Description: partial contains 5.8S ribosomal RNA, internal transcribed spacer 2, and large subunit ribosomal RNA
Rfam family: 5.8S ribosomal RNA (bases 1-120)
Source: RNAcentral